CUCCCUAGCUCCCAUUCCUAUACGCAUUCUUAAGAGCAACAACACUAAUCCCUUCUCUCCAUCCAGAACUAAACCCAACUACUCACCUUUCCCCACAAACCGUGCGUACCUAGGAAGAAAAGAAAACACUUAAACUGCACAUUCCCUUCCUAUCUUCCCACCUCAGCCGUGUGAGCAUGAUAAAGGGGAGAAAAUAAAUCGGAUCCUGGUCAAUGGUUAAAGACACAAUCAAUUCACCUUAGUUUCUUUCUAUUCAUGCGCAUGACAAGGGAACAACCCAAGAAACUGACUGUUCUUCUUUGAUUCAGAAUCGCACUUCACUUCUCUCAUCCCCCCUUCUCAGCCGCAAGCCUCACGGAAGAACUCAAAGGAGAACCAUGCUUGCAUCCCAUUUUCCAUCAUCUUCUCCAAACCGUGAACCCAUGGGAAGAGAGCAAAAACACCUAAGCACAUUCCCCUAUUCCUUCCUUGCUUCGGUCGAGCGGCAGCAAUUAAGGAGCUGCAACAGAAGCUCAUUCUUCACUUUAUUCAUUGUUGGCCGAAGACCAACCUUCAAGGAGGGCCACUCCUUGUUCGCGGGUGGACUCGGUGUGCAGUCAAAGAGGUGCGCAAAACCCCUAGAGAACGUGGACUAUUCUGGUGCUGUUUGAUUAAUAUUUGGGCACACAAGGUAAGUGUUUGAUGGUGAGACCUAUUGUGACUAUUAGUUAGCGUAUGGAAUUUUGAAUUGUUGCUCACAUGUGCCUUUGGAUUUGUUUUCUGUUAAAUAUUAUUUGUGAUCUGUCCCUGGACUUCACAUGUUGGAAAUUCUGUCUUGGAAAUGAUAACUGAUUGGAUUAUGAACUGUUGGAAAUUCUGUCUUGGAAAAGAUAACUUGAUCUGGAUUAUGAACUGUUAGAAAUUCUGCCUUGGAAUUACAUAUGCUUCGAAUUUAUGUUGCCAUAUUCUGUAAACUAUGACUCUCUGAUUCUGAUAUUUAGUCAUGCUCAUGAACAUCAUAAAAUUUCAUUUGAUCACGUGUGUGCAAAGCAAAACAUAUCAUAGCAUACAGCAUAUUUAUGCAUUCAAGUUUGGAAACCGAAGUAUUUGAUAAAAGUAAGCAUAUGUUUGAGCACGCAUCAUGUAGGCAUCCCUCAGGUACUAGGGAGAAGGAACCGUGGCUCAGUUCGCAUAGGUCGCAGUUGGAAUUCCCCUCUGAUGGGCCAAAUGGAAUAUCCACUGUGUUAGUUAGUAGUACGAGCACUACAGUGCUAUGAACGUACAUUAUUCUGGCGUUAUAUACGCACUCUGAUUAGUAUUCUGGCAUUAUAUACGCACUCUGAUUAGUACUCUGGCGUUAUACACGCAUUCUGAUUUUGUUUUAGCAUCUGUUCUGAAUUUAAAUGUUGAUGCGACUGUUUUAGAAUUUUGUACCUAGACUGGUAUUGUGGCAAUACUGGUUUUACUAUCACACGACUGGGAUUUUUCGCACCCCUUUUGGGGCUCAAUUUUUAUAAAUUGCAGGGAGCCGUAGAAGCAUAUGAUGAUUUGGUUAUUUUGGAUAAUUGCUGUUGACUGCUGCUGUUUGGAAAUUUCUGUUGUUGUCUGCUAUGUCUUUUGGAUGUUGGCUGACGAUUGUAUAUUGAUGUAAUAUUUUGGGAAUAUGGACUACUGUUGGAAGAGUGAUUUAAAUUGUUGUUUAUAAGAUUUUUAUGGUCAGCUUGUAAU
RNA transcript from Gastrolobium bilobum, 1707 nucleotides. RefSeq lists it as uncharacterized. The transcript is spliced from 3 exons. The record is from RefSeq and is a predicted model, not a curated record. NCBI's taxonomy places the organism in Eukaryota, Viridiplantae, Streptophyta, Magnoliopsida, Fabales, Fabaceae.